UGCAACCCUAAAGCGUCCAUUUUGUAACUGGCUAUUGCUUGCUACAUUUCCCUUUCUUCCAGCCGCAUCAGCCAGAGGACUGAUCCUGCAUUUUGUCUGGACUUACAUCUUUGGUGUUCCUGUGACCCGGAGGCAUCACCCCUCUUGGUGACAACUGGCAGAAGGCACAAGGAUGCACAGAGUUACAAGGAUUCCCUGGGUCUGGUCUCUACAUAAUAAUGGCAACUGCUGUAGCUGCUGCAAGGAUUUUAUGAAAUCAUGAAUAUGAGGGGAGGUGAUCUGCUCCAUUAUCAGUCGGCGGUGAUAUGAUCCACAAGAUUCUUUCUGUGAAAGUCAGAGAAUCUUUGCACUAGAUAUUGCUGGCACUCCAGUAAAAUCUGAUUUUGACUUUA
This is a long non-coding RNA of Mauremys reevesii (Reeves's turtle), 392 nucleotides long. RefSeq lists it as uncharacterized. NCBI's taxonomy places the organism in Eukaryota, Metazoa, Chordata, Testudines, Geoemydidae. The record is from RefSeq and is a predicted model, not a curated record. The transcript is spliced from 3 exons.